AUUGAACGCUGGCGGCAUGCUUUACACAUGCAAGUCGAACGGUAACAGGCCUUCGGGUGCUGACGAGUGGCGAACGGGUGAGUAAUGCAUCGGAACGUACCCAGAGGUGGGGGAUAACGCAGCGAAAGCUGUGCUAAUACCGCAUGUGAUCUGAGGAUGAAAGCGGGGGACCGAGCAGCAAUGUUUGGCCUCGCGCCUUUGGAGCGGCCGAUGUCGGAUUAGCUAGUUGGUGGGGUAAAGGCCUACCAAGGCGACGAUCCGUAGCUGGUCUGAGAGGACGACCGGCCACACUGGGACUGGGACACGGCCCAGACUCCUACGGGAGGCAGCAGUGGGGAAUUUUGGACAAUGGGCGCGAGCCUGAUCCAGCAAUGCCGCGUGCGGGAAGAAGGCCUUCGGGUUGUAAACCGCUUUUGGCAGGAACGAAACGGUGUCCGCUAAUACCGGGCGCUAAUGACGGUACCUGCAGAAUAAGCACCGGCUAACUACGUG
RNAcentral lists this ribosomal RNA (492 nucleotides) under uncultured bacterium. Its description in RNAcentral is "partial 16S ribosomal RNA". It matches the Rfam family "Bacterial small subunit ribosomal RNA", at positions 29 to 507 of the family's 1533-position model. The record is from RNAcentral.